GCCAGUUAAGAAUUUGUUUGAAUCUCAGUGAAAGUGGAGAAAGUUUAAAUUUGUGCCAACAUAUAAUAUUUAUCCGAUAUUUGACUGUGCAGAUAUCUACUUUGCCCAUCUCUAGCUAGCAGUGAAAUGCAGUGAAAUUGUAAACUUUUUUUCGUUUUGCUGUAAUGUGAAUUUUUUCCAAUUUAUUUUCGAAUAUUUUAUUUAAAAACACAAAAAUUAAGAGAGCACAUAUUAGCGAAAAUAUGGACACGGAGAAAUCUAGCAGCAGCUCCUUCGAGGAUCUGACGAAUGCCGAAGACACGAAGGAUUUACGUAAGGCCACAGCCGAGGCAGCCUUUGAAGCCACUGAAGAAACAUCAGCAACAACGACUCUUGUCGGCGAUACGGAUAAGGGAGAAGAGGCCGAGAGUGAAAGUGAAUGUGAUAUAUUGGGCAACAAGCAGCUGAUAAAGCGCAUCAUCAAGAAGGCACCGGAAGAUGCCAAAACUCCCAGUCGCGGUGAACUGGUCACCAUAAGUUUUAACGGCAAACUCGAGGAUGGCAAAGUGGUAGAGGAGGAAAAGAACUUUCAGUGUCAUGUUGGCGACUAUGAGGUGGUCCAGGGCUUGGAUAUGAUACUGCCCAUGCUUAAAGUUGGUGAAGUCGCCGAAGUGGUUGUGGAUCCCAGAUUUGGCUACGGGACGCUUGGGCUAAAAAAAGACAACGACGGGGACUUCAUCGUCCCACCUAAUGCACUUCUUACUUAUGAAAUAGAGCUGCUGGAUAGCAAAUACGAAGAGUUUGCCGAUCUGAAGACCUUUGAAGUGAUCCGCAAAUAUGGAACCCGAAAGAAAGAGCGUGCCAACUACUUUUUCAAGCGGUUGGAAUAUAAUACUGCCAUUCACUUGUACAGACGAGCUCUCGACUAUUUGGACACACGUGAUGGGGAUCCGGAAUCUGAAUUUGACAAAGAAGAUUUGCAACUCUCCAACAGUGAAACGCAGGCCAUUCUGGAUGAUCGUUUGAUUGUCUAUAACAAUCUGGCCAUGACUCAGAUCAAAAUUUCGGCCUUCGACGCAGCCCUCAAGUCUGUGGAGAAUGUCUUGCGAUGUCAGCCGAAUAACCCAAAGGCCUUGUAUCGCAAGGGAAGAAUACUGGAAGGCAAGAACGACACGCAGGGUGCUAUUAAGUUGUUCCAAAAGGUGGCUACUCUCGAGCCUGAAAAUCGCGGAGUUCAACAAGAUCUGGCCAGGCUUUUCAUCAAGGCGCGUCGCGAUCAACACAACGAAAAAGAAAUGUAUCAGAAGAUGUUGGGCCAGGCCAAGAAAAUGGAACAAAAGACUGCUGCCCGACAAAAGCAACCCCUCGUGGAAAAUUCCAAGCUGAAACUUCUGGGCUAUCUAAUGGGUUCUAUAUUGAUUGGCGUCGCUGGCGUUGCCAUUUAUCGUUACAAGUACUAAGGACAAGACUUGCACUCGAUAUCCACUGUGUAAUUUGGGCAAAUGAAAUGCAUUUUGAAAACUAUACGCAGAACAGUCAAAAUUAUGAACGUUGAAAUGCCGUAAUUGCUUACUUCUAAACAAAUGGCUCUUGUUGUACAACUUACACUAUGCACACUUUAUGCAUUUGUCAAAGUACCAGGAUUGCAACUAUUCGUUCUAGUCUGUCUUGUGCUUUGUGGUUUCUUUCGGUAAGAAUGGAUAUUCUGUGCAUAGUAGAGCAUGGCUUUAGGUUAGUGAGAGUCUGAAGCUCAAGGUUCCAGUAUAUUGAAAGAUAUCCUUACAAUUACUCUCUCAGUCGAAGUACCUUAGAUUUUGUAUUUCCGAUUAACGCAUUUAAAUUGAACGCCGGGUUAUCGAACCCAAAAAUGAGCAACAUUGCUGGUAUAUUUAUGCUACUUGUAAGGGUAUUUUUCAUUCAUUUUGCGGUAUAUUAGAGAACAUUCCCUCCAUUUUGUGCUAUAUUAAAGUAUAUUUCAUCCAAUUUCUGGCAUAUAAUGGAAUAUUUAUGCUAUUUUGUAGUAUAUUUUAACCACACGACUUAGGUAAAAUGUAGCACAUUUUCGAUGCUGAAUCAUUGCCCCGCAAUAUUUAAUUAACUGCACAAAACGGUUGUUUUUGCAGUGUCAGUGGAGGUGUGCAGCUUUAAAAAUCAAUUUUAUAUUUCAAUACGUAGCAGCC
Molecule: RNA transcript, 2159 nt
Organism: Drosophila miranda
Lineage: Eukaryota; Metazoa; Arthropoda; Insecta; Diptera; Drosophilidae
Gene name: peptidyl-prolyl cis-trans isomerase FKBP8-like
Exons: 8
Source: RefSeq, a predicted model, not a curated record